GGCACAAUGGCUAAGCAUUUGGCUGUUAACUGAAAGGUUGGUGGUUUAAAUCCACCUGGUGGCU
Molecule: transfer RNA, 64 nt
Filed under: Loxodonta africana (African savanna elephant)
Lineage: Eukaryota; Metazoa; Chordata; Mammalia; Proboscidea; Elephantidae
Rfam family: tRNA
About the family: Transfer RNA (tRNA) molecules are approximately 80 nucleotides in length. Their secondary structure includes four short double-helical elements and three loops (D, anti-codon, and T loops).
Source: Rfam by way of RNAcentral